Molecule: transfer RNA, 67 nt
Filed under: Mus musculus (house mouse)
Lineage: Eukaryota; Metazoa; Chordata; Mammalia; Rodentia; Muridae
Description: tRNA-Ser
Source: RNAcentral
AGUUGGCUCAGUGGUUAAGAGCACUGACUGCUCUUCCAGGGGUCCUGAGUUCAAUUCCCAGCAACCA